CCCAGCCCCAGGAUCCCCAGGUGACCCUAUUCAGUGCUGAGGACACAACACAGACAAACCACCAUGGAGUCUGUGCUCGGCUGGGUUUUCCUUGUCGCUAUUUUAAAAGGUGUCCAGGGUGAGGUGCAGCUGGUGGAGUCUGGGGGAGACCUGGUGAAGCCUGGGGGGUCCCUGAGACUCUCCUGUGUGGCCUCCGGAUUCACCUUCAGUAGCUACGGCAUGAGCUGGGUCCACCAGGCUCCAGGGAAGGGGCUGCAGUGGGUCGCACACAUUAACAGUGGUGGAAGUAGCACAAGCUACGCAGACGCUGUGAAGGGCCGAUUCACCAUCUCCAGAGACAACGCCAAGAACACGCUGUAUCUGCAGAUGAACAGCCUGAGAGCCGAGGACACGGCCGUGUAUUACUGUGUGAAGGACACAGUACCAGACUAUCUUGAUGAUAAAGGCUUUAUCAUAGAGCUUUCCUGCAGACAUUGUUAUGCCCUCCAGCUGUAG
Non-coding RNA from Nyctereutes procyonoides (raccoon dog), 495 nucleotides. Lineage: Eukaryota; Metazoa; Chordata; Mammalia; Carnivora; Canidae. The record is from the annotation of a RefSeq genome assembly.